AACGAACGCUGGCGGCAUGCCUAACACAUGCAAGUCGAACGAGACCUUCGGGUCUAGUGGCGCACGGGUUCGUAACGCGUGGGAACCUGCCCUUAGGUUCGGAAUAACUCUCCGAAAGGGGUGCUAAUACCGGAUAAUGUCUUCGGACCAAAGAUUUAUCGCCUUUGGAUGGGCCCGCGUUGGAUUAGCUAGUUGGUAGGGUAAAAGCCUACCAAGGCGACGAUCCAUAGCUGGUCUGAGAGGAUGAUCAGCCACACUGGGACUGAGACACGGCCCAGACUCCUCCGGGAGGCAGCAGUGGGGAAUAGUGGACAAUGGGCGAAAGCCUGAUCCAGCAAUGCCGCGUGAGUGAUGAAGGCCUUAGGGUUGUAAAGCUCUUUUACCCGGGAUGAUAAUGACAGUACCGGGAGAAUAAGCUCCGGCUAACUCCGUG
This 433-nucleotide ribosomal RNA is filed under the name uncultured bacterium. Its description in RNAcentral is "partial 16S ribosomal RNA". It matches the Rfam family "Bacterial small subunit ribosomal RNA", at positions 29 to 507 of the family's 1533-position model. The record is from RNAcentral.